RNAcentral lists this long non-coding RNA (311 nucleotides) under Trifolium pratense (red clover). RNAcentral describes it as "long non-coding RNA (TPRA_LNC008783)". The record is from RNAcentral. Lineage: Eukaryota; Viridiplantae; Streptophyta; Magnoliopsida; Fabales; Fabaceae.
GAGUCAAGCCUUUUGCUACGUGUCAAGAAACCCCUUGCUUAAGUAACUAGUUCGCUCAGCGAAUGUCAUUUCGCUUAGCGAACUCCUCUGUCCUGAAAGCCUAUAAAUAGAGCUCAGAAGCCAUUUUCUUAGAUAUAGUUUUUUGUAAUAGUUCAGAGAUACAAGUAAUAGUAGUUCUAAGAGUUCUUGAAGGUGGAUUCAUCAUUAUACUUGAGAAAUCAAGAGAUGUUCUUCAUCCCUUUUUCUUGUAAGUUUACUUUGAUCAUGUCUAGCUAAAUUCCUUUGUUGUUGGGAUUAGAUGUAGUUAUNNN